CUCAAUAAAUACACUCUACCUUCCCCCGCCGUAGGUCUCACCGCCGGCGAGCUUGGCCGGCCGGUCCGCCGCUGGUUUUUCCCCCCACUUCCCUGUGCUCAUGCGCCAGGAAGAAGGGAAAAAUCCCUUCCAAUUUUGAUCUAACCCCCUAUUUUCCCCUAUUCACAAACCAGCCCUCCCACCUCUCUCAAAGUUCUCUCGUGAAUAUGCC
Molecule: long non-coding RNA, 211 nt
Filed under: Setaria viridis
Lineage: Eukaryota; Viridiplantae; Streptophyta; Magnoliopsida; Poales; Poaceae
Description: long non-coding RNA (SVIR_LNC001114)
Source: RNAcentral